ACCUUACGGUUUGGGCAUCACAUGAUUUUAUCCUUAAACCUUUGCCACACUACAUAUAAGGGCUCACCACUAUAUCGAUGAAAUUUUGUGAUUUCAUCCCUUAAUUU
Small nucleolar RNA from Capsicum annuum, 107 nucleotides. NCBI's taxonomy places the organism in Eukaryota, Viridiplantae, Streptophyta, Magnoliopsida, Solanales, Solanaceae. The record is from RefSeq and is a predicted model, not a curated record.